RNAcentral lists this long non-coding RNA (296 nucleotides) under Anser brachyrhynchus (Pink-footed goose). RNAcentral's name for it is "lncRNA (ENSABRG00000022556.1)". The record is from RNAcentral. Lineage: Eukaryota; Metazoa; Chordata; Aves; Anseriformes; Anatidae.
CCAGGCUAUGUUAGGCUUACCUUGUUCCAUUUAAUUAAUUAAUUAAUUAAUUUAUUUAUUUAUUUAUUUUCAGAUGAGGCCGAGUCUGUAUGAGUUUUACAACAGACAGCGAGACCUGAAGUGGCUGGCUCAAGUACAGGGUCAGCCAGCAGCAGCCAGCACUGCCUCGAGUCCUGCUAUUUUGCAGCAAGAGGUUCUGCCCAAACCGUUGAUUCUGGGGCCGUAGCGCAGACAGCCGCCACAACAGCCUUCAGACCCAAUUCAGUCAAAAUACAGCCUUAUCCCCUCAAAGAUUC